CGUAGCAUCCGCCACCGAUCACGGUCUGGGUCUCGAUCUCAUCAUCGGACACCUUCCAAGAAG
RNAcentral lists this non-coding RNA (63 nucleotides) under uncultured Nitzschia. Lineage: Eukaryota; Bacillariophyta; Bacillariophyceae; Bacillariales; Bacillariaceae. The record is from RNAcentral.